ACUAAUGGUGUAGACCCAAAAGUGCAAACCUCUCCCAUCUGUCACUCCAGGAAGACAUAAUCAAAUGCUCAGAUUAUUUUCAAGGAAACAAGUACUAUUUGAACCAAGGUCUCUACUACAGUGGACUUCUGCCUGUGUGAUUCUAUGAUAUCACAUGUUUCUUCUCUGCCUGCCACUGCUGGGCAAACUGUCGGCUGGUUGCAACAACACUGACGUGUAAUCAGACUGAAGCCCUGUGCCAAGAAGUGGGGAGUGCAGUAAAUUACCAGCUGACGAAAGAAUGGAAAAAGGUGUGUUUUGUGUUUUCUCCCUGGGACCGGCGGGAGGCGAGAAUGGAGGGAUGAAGGGAGAGUCUUUUCCCUGCUGUUCUGUGGAUGCAGCCUGGGAUACGGAGCUAAUGGAUUCUCCCCGGCAAUGAACCAGUAUUCAGGCUGCUGUCCAGAGCAAAGAGGGAGAGUGGAAGGGAGGGAGGGAGGGAGCCACCUGAGAUGUUUCCCACAGUACUGGCCUGGAGAUUAGGAAGGAAGGAAGGGAUGGAGGAGGGCUGGAGGGAUAGGGAGGGAAGAGAGUGAAUAGUAGGGGUGGGGUGGGAUGGAGGAGGGGUGGAGAGAUAGGGAGGGAAGAGAGUGAAUAGUAGGGGUGGGGAGGGAUGGAGGAGGGGUGGAGAGAUAGAGAAAGAGGUGGAGAAGGAAAGAGAGAGGAAGAGAGAAGAGAUGGGGCGAAGGGGAGGGAUGGAGGGAUAGAGAAAGAGGUAGAGAAGGAAAGAGAGAAGAGAUGGGGUGAAGGGGAGGGAUGGAGGGAUAGAGAAAGAGGUAGAGAAGGAAAGAGAGAGGAAGAGAGAAGAGAUGGGGCGAAGGGGAGGGAUGGAGGGAUAGAGAAAGAGGUAGAGAAGGAAAGAGAGAGGAAGAGAGAAGAGAUGGGGUGAAGGGGAGGGAUGGAGGGAUAGAGAAAGAGGUAGAGAAGGAAAGAGAGAGGAAGAGAGAAGAGAUGGGGCGAAGGGGAGGGAUGGAGGGAUAGAGAAAGAGGUGGAGAAGGAAAGAGAGAGGAAGAGAGAAGAGAUGGGGCGAAGGGGAGGGAUGGAGGGAUAGAGAAAGAGGUAGAGAAGGAAAGAGAGAGGAAGAGAGAAGAGAUGGGGCGAAGGGGAGGGAUGGAGGGAUAGAGAAAGAGGUAGAGAAGGAAAGAGAGAAGAGAUGGGGUGAAGGGGAGGGAUGGAGGGAUAGAGAAAGAGGUAGAGAAGGAAAGAGAGAGGAAGAGAGAAGAGAUGGGGCGAAGGGGAGGGAUGGAGGGAUAGAGAAAGAGGUAGAGAAGGAAAGAGAGAGGAAGAGAGAAGAGAUGGGGUGAAGGGGAGGGAUGGAGGGAUAGAGAAAGAGGUAGAGAAGGAAAGAGAGAAGAGAUGGGGUGAAGGGGAGGGAUGGAGGGAUAGAGAAAGAGGUAGAGAAGGAAAGAGAGAGGAAGAGAGAAGAGAUGGGGUGAAGGGGAGGGAUGGAGGGAUAGAGAAAGAGGUAGAGAAGGAAAGAGAGAAGAGAUGGGGUGAAGGGGAGGGAUGGAGGGAUAGAGAAAGAGGUAGAGAAGGAAAGAGAGAGGAAGAGAGAAGAGAUGGGGUGAAGGGGAGGGAUGGAGGGAUAGAGAAAGAGGUAGAGAAGGAAAGAGAGAGGAAGAGAGAAGAGAUGGGGUGAAGGGGAGGGAUGGAGGGAUAGAGAAAGAGGUAGAGAAGGAAAGAGAGAGGAAGAGAGAAGAGAUGGGGUGAAGGGGAGGGAUGGAGGGAUAGAGAAAGAGGUAGAGAAGGAAAGAGAGAGGAAGAGAGAAGAGAUGGGGUGAAGGGGAGGGAUGGAUAGAGGGAUAGAGAAAGAGGUGGAGAAGGAAAGAGAGAGGAAGAGAGAAGAGAUGGGGUGAAGGGGAGGGAUGGAGGGAUAGAGAAAGAGGUAGAGAAGGAAAGAGAGAGGAAGAGAGAAGAGAUGGGGUGAAGGGGAGGGAUAGAGGGAUAGAGAAAGAGGUAGAGAAGGAAAGAGAGAGGAAGAGAGAAGAGAUGGGGCGAAGGGGAGGGAUGGAGGGAUAGAGAAAGAGGUGGAGAAGGAAAGAGAGAGGAAGAGAGAAGAGAUGGGGUGAAGGGGAGGGAUGGAGGGAUAGAGAAAGAGGUAGAGAAGGAAAGAGAGAAGAGAUGGGGUGAAGGGGAGGGAUGGAGGGAUAGAGAAAGAGGUAGAGAAGGAAAGAGAGAAGAGAUGGGGCGAAGGGGAGGGAUGGAGGGAUAGAGACAGAGGUAGAGAAGGAAAGAGAGAGGAAGAGAGAAGA
Oncorhynchus keta (chum salmon) is the source of this 2289-nucleotide RNA transcript. It is a transcript of the gene named octapeptide-repeat protein T2-like, with no coding region annotated. NCBI's taxonomy places the organism in Eukaryota, Metazoa, Chordata, Actinopteri, Salmoniformes, Salmonidae. The record is from RefSeq and is a predicted model, not a curated record. The transcript has 5 exons.